Molecule: long non-coding RNA, 631 nt
Organism: Panicum virgatum (switchgrass)
Lineage: Eukaryota; Viridiplantae; Streptophyta; Magnoliopsida; Poales; Poaceae
Exons: 2
Source: RefSeq, a predicted model, not a curated record
UUUCUUCCAUCCCUCUUCUCCCAGGCGGCGGCGGCCAACAGGAGGUGGAGUCGCACAAGCGCGGGAGCCAAGAUCCCGUCAGCCUCCUCCCAGAUCGACCGCUCUCCUUUCUGGUGGAGGCAGAUCCAUCUCCACCCACACCCAUUCCCGUCCAUCUCUCCACUUCAAUCCGUCCAUCCCAAAUCAGCAGCAGCGGUAGGUCAGCAGCGGCGGCGGCGCCGGCGGUCAAGUCGUCCAACAUGUCGGAGUUGGUGAUGAUGCGCCGGCAAGAGCUGCAGCACCACGGACGGAAGCAGCACACCAGGAAUAUUUGUAGAAAUCGACAUUAAUGGGACAUGGACUGUGUAACCUAAAGACUAUUAUGAUGUAGUUACUGGACUGUGCAAGUAGUAUUAUUGUUCUUCACUUCUUAUCUCUGAUUCUUGUAUCAGUGGCGGAGCCAGGAUAUUAGAGUAGAGUAUUCCCAUCUUCCAACAAGUAAAAAAGUCCACAUGAACAGUAAAAUGUUCACAAUAUAGUAUUUAGAAAAUAAAGGUAUAAAGCUGUUCAAUCCUAAUAUAUUCAUGAAACAAAUGGAAUUAGGGAAGUUCUUACAAAAUACAUAAAGAAAAUUACAAAUUCUUUAACUUCA